This 377-nucleotide ribosomal RNA is filed under the name uncultured bacterium. RNAcentral describes it as "bacterial SSU rRNA". It matches the Rfam family "Bacterial small subunit ribosomal RNA", at positions 521 to 896 of the family's 1533-position model. The record is from RNAcentral.
UAAUACAGAGGGUGCAAGCGUUGCUCGGAUUUACUGGGCGUAAAGCGUACGCAGACGGUGAGAAAGGUCGGAUGUGAAAGCCCCGGGCUCAACCCGGGAACUGCAUCCGAAACCAUCUCGCUAGAGUAUGGGAGAGGGAAGCGGAAUUCCUGGUGUAGAGGUGAAAUUCGUAGAUAUCAGGAGGAACACCUGCGGCGAAGGCGGCUUCCUGGCCCAUUACUGACGUUCAGGUACGAAAGCGUGGGUAGCAAACAGGAUUAGAUACCCUGGUAGUCCACGCUGUAAACGAUGUGUGCUGGAUGUCGGGGGUAUUCACCCCCUCGGUAUCGAAGCUAACGCGAUAAGCACACCGCCUGGGGAGUACGGCCGCAAGGUUG